GGGGGGUACCAGAGUUUGAGAACUUCAGUAUGGGGAGGAAUUAGCCAGAGAGGAAGGGAGAGGAAUAUUCCUCUAAUGGAACACACACAGCACAAUCACAGAAGAGGCUGAGAGUGUUUACGAACCUGCAAGUGAUUUCUUGUACCUGGAGGGUCCUCUGUGUGUUUCAAGGGAUGAGACAAGAUACACCGGUGGGGCCAGAAGUUCCCUCAGAGGACUAGGAGGUUUGGCCAGCUUUGCCCACACUGAGGGACCAGAGGGUCAUUCUUCCUGGUGCUUCUGUGCUUCUUCAGAGGAGUCCAGGUAGAAAAAGACUUGCUCCAAAGAGAGAUGAUACUAAUGGUGAAGAUUCAGACAUUGUGUCUGAUUAAAGGGUGGUUCCUAGAAUGGUGAUGCCAAGUACAGGAAGUAGAAGAGAGUCCAAAGCUGCUUUGGGAAGCCUUCCUUUAACUCAUGCUAUGAGAAGUUGGGUGGCCUAGGUUCAGAACCAGGGUGCGUCUCUAAUGCUGUGCAAACUCGGGUGAAUCCUCUCUGGGUAAGUCUAGGUUUCUCUAUUUAAGAAACAUAAAGGGGAUGUUGCUGGUCAUCCAGUAGCUAGCCUCUGAAUUUCCACUGCAAGGGUGGGGGUUCCAUCCUUUGUUGGGGAACUAAGAUCCCACAUACCACAUGGCCAAAAAAAGAAAGAAAGAAACAUGGAGGGUGUGGAGAACGAACAAACUGGUCCUCUCAAAGCUCUCUGAUUUUAUAAUAAGAGCAAAGAAACUUAUUGCAGUUUUCUAUGAUCCUAUAAUUUGGCUUCUCUAUUUUCUUUAGCCUGUGAGCAUCUUGAGGGCAAAAAUUAUCUCAUUUAUUCCAGAAUUCACAGAUUCAAGCAAGGACCUGUCACAUAAGAAAUGCUCGAAGUAACUAAGCUGAAGCUGAUGUUUACCGUCCCGGGCAUGUGUCAUCUUCUAUUUAUGCAUGCAAAACCUGCAAGUCUAUUGUUACAUAUAUUUCAAAAGUUUAUAUAAAUGGUAUAAUACUGUACACAUUUCUUUGCCAUUUAUUUUUUCAUUCCAUAUUUAUGUUCUGGAGAUUUACCAUAUUGGGAACAUGUUGAUCUAGUUUGUUCAUUUUAACUGUGAUAGAUGAUUUCAUUGUGUUUAUAAAGCAGCUUAUUUUCCUGUUCUCUUGCUGAGAGGCAGUUAGACUGCUCCUCACUUUUCUAUCACAUACUAAGAUGUGGUGAAUAUCCUUGACCACAUAUCCUUUUGCACAUGAAUAUGAGUUUCUCCAGGGCUUCCCAAGUGGUGCUAGUGGUAAAGAACCCACCUGCCAAUGGAAGAGACAUAGAUUCAGGUUCGACCCCUGGGUUGGGAAGAUCCCCUGGAGGAGGGCAUGGCAACCCACUCCAGUAUUCUUGUCUGGAGGAUCCCAUGGACAGAAGAGCCACAGUCCAUAGGGUCGCAAAGAGUCAGACACAACUGAAGUGACUUGGCAUGCACACACACCUGAGUUUCUCUAGGAUGCAUGGAAAACACUCUGGGUUCUGCACCCAGAUUCUAUGACCUGCAGGUGCAACUCAUCCCCCAGCUGCUGUGAGUGCUGGCUGCUAGGGAUUCACAGCUGCUCACAGCUUCUUGGGAACUUCUUUAUUCAGGAAGUUAUAAGUUACCCACCACCUUGCCCCCUACAUUGGGCAGCCCACAGUCAAUGACUGAUGGAUACAGCCAAUGACUGAUGGAUAAGUCUUAUCCGUCAAUGACUGAUGGAUAAGCCAAUGACUGGUGCAAAAGCCUGGCCUCUUUGCCUCAAGGCAGAUUCACUCUGCAACGUUACUAAUGCUUCAGAGCUCCCCAUGGGGUCAGAUUGAAGAUAAUCUCCAGCUGAGAACCUACCAUCACUUAACAUUUCUUCCUAUCCUAUCUGCCUGACCCUCUCUCUCCACCUGAGAGUCCUCCCUCUAGAAACCACCUGCACAAGGAUCUCGGGCACUGCUUAGGGGACCUAACUUCAGACAGGCACACACCUAACCUAAGGCAGAGCCACUGUGUCUCAGAUUUGCUCAUCUUAAAACGGUUUCCAAAUUGUUCUCCAAAGUAGUUGUACCAAUUUACGUUCCCACCAGCAGUUUACAAACAUUGCUGACCGCCCCCACCCACCACACUCAUCUAUUCCAGUGUUAUAGACUAAUUUUGCCAAUCAGAUUGUGUAAUAUGCUAAUUUUUGUUUUAAUUUGCAUUUCCGUGCUCACUAGUGAUAUUGAGAAUCUUGUUACUAUCUUUAUUGGCGUUCAAAUUUCUUCCCCUGUUAUUUGUCUGUUCACAUCUUUUGUCCAUUUGCUUACUGCUUUGGAAUGUCUAUGGUAAAUUGAUUCUUUGAGGCUUAAAUUUUUUAUUUUGGAGACUAAUUCUCUCUUGGCUGGUUAUCCAAGUUGAAAAUACCUUCUGCCAGCUGUGGCUUUAACAAAUUUGCUUAUUUUUUUGUCAUGUAGACAUUUUUGACUUUAAGGAAAUAAGAUUUAUCAUUUCCUUUCAUUUGUGUUUGUGUCUUAUUUAUUUUCUACUCUGAGAUC
Long non-coding RNA from Bos taurus (domestic cattle), 2554 nucleotides. The record is from Ensembl. Lineage: Eukaryota; Metazoa; Chordata; Mammalia; Artiodactyla; Bovidae.